UUAAUGUUUGAUGUUCUAACGUUGGCCCCUUACCGGGGUUGCGGACAGUGUCUGGUGGGUAGUUUGACUGGGGCGGUCUCCUCCCAAAGCGUAACGGAGGAGCACGAAGGUUAGCUAAUCCUGGUCGGACAUCAGGAGGUUAGUGCAAUGGCAUAAGCUAGCUUGACUGCGAGCGUGACGGCGCGAGCAGGUGCGAAAGCAGGUCAUAGUGAUCCGGUGGUUCUGAAUGGAAGGGCCAUCGCUCAACGGAUAAAAGGUACUCCGGGGAUAACAGGCUGAUACCGCCCAAGAGUUCAUAUCGACGGCGGUGUUUGGCACCUCGAUGUCGGCUCAUCACAUCCUGGGGCUGAAGUAGGUCCCAAGGGUAUGGCUGUUCGCCAUUUAAAGUGGUACGCGAGCUGGGUUUAGAACGUCGUGAGACAGUUCGGUCCCUAUCUGCCGUGGGCGCUGGAGAAUUGAGGGGGGCUGCUCCUAGUACGAGAGGACCGGAGUGGACGCAUCACUGGUGUU
Molecule: ribosomal RNA, 510 nt
Filed under: Klebsiella pneumoniae
Lineage: Bacteria; Pseudomonadati; Pseudomonadota; Gammaproteobacteria; Enterobacterales; Enterobacteriaceae
Description: partial 23S ribosomal RNA
Rfam family: Bacterial large subunit ribosomal RNA
Source: RNAcentral